Non-coding RNA from Leptonychotes weddellii (Weddell seal), 1938 nucleotides. The record is from RefSeq and is a predicted model, not a curated record. Lineage: Eukaryota; Metazoa; Chordata; Mammalia; Carnivora; Phocidae.
GGGCCUGAGCACCAGGGAACUGGGUUCCCAGGGGGACCCCAGGCAUUCAGCUCCUGGGCCAGUGGGUCCAUAGGGCAGGGAGACCCGCAGCCCCCCAGGCUUCUCACUCAGACUAGGGUCCGGCAGGGAGGGCCUGAGGCCAAGCAGCUCCUGUCCCUUGCCUCCCUUUUGCAGGAGACCUAUGUGUGGACCUGCCAGGGAGGUGCCCACUCCUGUUAAUUUCAUUCCCAUUUCCAUGUGCCCUUUCCCCAAAUCAUUCACGUGAGCCCCUAUUCCCACUGAGUCCCCCAAAGGGGCUUACAGUUUACAGGUAGCCUGAGCCACUUUGGAGCUGGUUUUUCUGUUCAGGGCUUGGCAGAUAAAGGUCCCAGCUUCCAGGAGCUUCUGGAGGUUCACACCCUUUGAGAAACAAGUUAGAGGAUGCACUAGGUCAUGACAUGCCUGCAACACCCAGGGAGACAUCGGACUGGACAGAAAACCGAUACUAAGAGAGUAAAGACCUUAACCUGGACAGCUACAACAGAGAAAACAGACCCAGCUUACAGAAUCAUGUGGCUUCGAGACCUGAGCCUCUAGGAGAUAACUUAAGACCCAAAAACAAACAAAAAAUCCCACAAGAACAAAGGCGGCCCAGGAUUGCUUUAGCAAACCUAAAGACAACAGGCCAGACUUCAACCAACGCGACAGCAAGGUCAGACACAAGACGCAGACACACCUGUGGUCAGACACUCAGAACUUUCUAAGAGGUGGCCAGUCCACAAGGAGCAAACCUCAAGGGAAACCCAAUCUGAACGCUCAGUUCAGUCUUCGGGGAACAGCAGGCCUCAUUCAGGUCUCUCCUGGCAUAUCCUCUCGGACCUCCCCAGCUGGGAUGGAGGCCUUCCUCAGCCGCGUGCUUCCUCCCUGCAGGUGAUCUGUCACAACGCACUGGGACUACCACAAAACUCCCCUGACUAUCCCCCUCACACACCCUUAUAGGCCAGGGUCACGUGUCUGUGUCCUCUGUGGCCACCCCAGGGCCUGGCACACAGGUAUCCGUGAAUCCUCACUGAAAGAAGGCGGGAACCUAGCUGUCCUGCCACUGUGUCCUUUUGGAGAAUGCACACGUGCCUUCCUCCUCGGACCUGCCCCGAUUACCUGCAGGGCCAUCAAAGUGUUGGCCAGGGCCUGGCCGUAGGUGUCAUGGCAGUGGACAGCCAGGGCAGCCACGGGCACCUCGUGCAUGACAGCCGACAGCAUGUCCUUCAUGAUCCCAGGGGUGCCCACACCGAUGGUGUCCCCCAGGGAGAUCUCGUAGCAGCCCAUCGAGUACAUCUUCUUGGUGACCUGGGGAGGCAAGCAAGCAAGCACUUGGAGGACACCAGGUUCCUCAAGCCAGGGGCCCAACACCUCAGAAGCAGGGGUCCCGGGCCUGUGCCGAACAUCUCCCUGUCGGAAACACUACGUUCCUGUCCGAUCAUCGGCUCCUUACAACUUUCUAGUGGGAAUGACGAUCCCCACUCUACUCACCAGGAAGCGGAGACGUAAGGGAACAGAGCUGGCCCCUGGAGCAACCCUGGGCUGCAACCCCGAGCUUUCCUCCCACCCUUUCCUGCCCCUGUGCCCCCGACUUCAGGCCUUCACGCGCCACCUCCACACACCGGGGCAGAGCCAACGACUGGAAUCAAUAAAAUGGAUUCCUCUCACGUGACUUUGCCCUCAGUAAGAUCUACAGUCUCGUGGGUCUGAGGGGCUAGUUAUGUAUUUUUAAUAGAAGUACCUAACUGUUGGAACUUUGAGAAGCUCAUCUGCAAACCCCUAAAGUCACUGAGAAGCCAGGGCAGCGUGUGCCCCACUUGAGAUGCUGGCCCACACUGCGCUGCCAGACGGCGGGCGUGUGACAGGGCCAGGGACGCAGGUGACACUCUCAGAGGCCUGCCAGGCAGAUGGACCGGCGAG